ACGAGUGGCGGACGGGUGAGUAACGCGUAGGAAUCUGCCCAAUAGUGGGGGGACAACCCGGAGAAAUCCGGGCUAAUACCGCAUACGCCCUACGGGGGAAAGGAGGGGAUCUCUUCGGAGACCUUUCGCUAUUGGAUGAGCCUGCGUCGGAUUAGCUUGUUGGUAGGGUAACGGCCUACCAAGGCGACGAUCCGUAGCUGGUCUGAGAGGACGAUCAGCCACACUGGGACUGAGACACGGCCCAG
This 245-nucleotide ribosomal RNA is filed under the name uncultured bacterium. RNAcentral's name for it is "partial 16S ribosomal RNA". It matches the Rfam family "Bacterial small subunit ribosomal RNA", at positions 91 to 334 of the family's 1533-position model. The record is from RNAcentral.